Oncorhynchus kisutch (coho salmon) is the source of this 2399-nucleotide long non-coding RNA. NCBI's taxonomy places the organism in Eukaryota, Metazoa, Chordata, Actinopteri, Salmoniformes, Salmonidae. The record is from Ensembl.
UGACAUACAUUAUUUUUCCUUAAGCGUUUCUUGGCUUUGUUGCCUGCUAAUUGGAGGGAUAACGUGUUCUACAUCAGAAGGUGAUCGGUCUCCUGCACUGGAUUCUAAUGCAGCAUGGCUCUAUGCAGGAUCACUUCGGUCUCUAGGAUAUGGCAAUUAUAAGUCUCCAAAAUCUCAAAUGCAAGCGCAACAGAAACAUCCGGCCGCCAUCCUGCGGAAGGAACUGGCCCCCAUGUCCCAGCAACCUCAGCAAGUGUGGUAUCCAGUUCAAAUGCCCCUGCAUCAGAAGCAACUGGCCGCAGAAGCUCAGCAGCAGAGGCAACCGACCGCCGUGCCCCAGCAAGUGUGGCAUCAAGCUCACAUGCUGACGCAUAAGCAACCGACCGCGGUGCCCCAGCAAGUGUGGCAUCAAGCUCACAUGCUGAUGCAUAAGCAACCGACCGCCGUGCCCCAGCAAGUGUGGCAUAGAGCUCAAAUGCCCCUGCUGCAGAAGAAACUGACCGCCAUGACCCAGCAAGUGUGGCAUCCUCCUCACAUGGCCCUGCAGCAGAAGCAACCGACCGCCGUGCCCCAGCAAUUGUGGCAUCCUGCUCAAAUUCCCCUGCAGCAGAAGCAACCGACCACCGUGCCCCAGCAAGUGUGGCAUCCUGAUCAAAUGCCCCUGCAGCAGAAGCAACUGACCGCCGUGCCCCAGCAAGUGUGGCAUCCUGCUCAAAUGCCCCUGCAAACAACCGCUGUGCCCCAGCAAGUGUGGCAUCCUAAUCAAAUGCUGCAGAAGCAACCGACUGCCGUGCCCCAGCAAGUGUGGCAUCCUCAAAUGCCCCUGCAGCAGAAGCAACUGACGACCGUGCCCCAGUAAGUGUGGCAUCCAGCUCAAAUGCAGCAGAAGCAACCGACUGCCGUGCCCCAGCAAGUGUGGCAUCCUUCUCAAAUGCCUCUGCAGCAGAAGCAACCGACUGCCGUGCCCCAGCAAGUGUGGCAUCCUCAAAUGCCCCUGCAGCAGAAGCAACCGACUGCCGUGCCCCAGCAAGUGUGGCAUCCUCAAAUGCCCCUGCAGCAGAAGCAACUGACGACCGUGCCCCAGCAAGUGUGGCAUCCUGCUCAAAUGCAGCAGAAGCAACCGACCACCGUGCCCCAGCAAGUGUGGCAUCCAGCUCAAAUGCAGCAGAAGCAACCGACUGCCGUGCCCCAGCAAGUGUGGCAUCCUCCUCAAAUGGCCCUGAGGCAGAAGCAAAUGAUCGCUGUGCCCCAGCAAGUGUGGCAUCCUCCUCAAAUGGCCCUGAGGCAGAAGCAAAUGACCGCUGUGCCCCAGCAAGCAUGGCAUCCUGCUCAGUUUCCCCAGCAGAAGCAACUGGUCCCUAUGCCUCUACUGCAGAAGGAACCAACCACCAUAGCCCAGCAACCUCAGCAGGUGUGGCAUCCAGCUCAAAUGUCCAAGAAUCGAACAGCCACUGAACCUCAGCAGAAGCAACCAUCCACCACGCCCCAGCAAGCGUGGCAUCCAGCUCAAAUUCCCCUGCAGCAGAAGCAACCGGCCACUGAACCUCAACAGAAGGAGCUGACCGCCAUGCCACAGAAGCUACAGGCCUCCAUUCUCCAGCAACCUCCGCUCGUGUGGCAUCCAUCUCAAUUUCCCCAGCAGAAGGAACUGGCAGUCGAGCCCCAGCAGCAGAAGGAACUGGCAGUCGAGCCCCAGCAGCAGAAGGAACUGGCAGUCGAGCCUCAGCAAGUGAGGUAUCCAGCUCAAAUGGCCCAGCAGCUACCCAACCCCAUUCCUCAGCAAUUAUGGCAUGUAGGCCAAAUUUCCCAGCAGCAACUGGCCCCAUUGUCUCAGCAGAAGCACUACGAAAGAACUGAAGAUGAUGCCUCUGGUAGUUCUCAGGCCAGCAUUGAACAGUCAGGUGUCAUCCCAAUCUCUUCCUACAGUUCCAAAUCGCACUACAAGAAUGGCAGAACUGUCUUUUCCCGAAUCAGCUACACUCCUAGGGAGGCAAUGCCUGUUGACAGUGGAAAUGCUCCCAAGGACGGUUAUGUUGGCAUUGGUGCACCAAGCAUAUAUCCAACACUAGUGAAGGAUUCUGCAAGGAAAAUGUAAUGGAUUCAUCCUCUAGAAGCUCUAAUGGACGUUGCUGGUGCUCUUGCUACUCUAGUGUGAUGGAAUGAAUAAACAACUUACUUUAAAAAAUGCCUUGUCUCUUUGAAAUAAUGAUUCUCGUGUCUUGAGAACGGGUGGUGUGCAGUCUUGUAAAAUUGACUGUUCAGUUAAUUCUUUGGUUGUUCAUCUUUUACCUUUGCUACUGGUUGUUCAAAAUAAAAGCUUGGGUCUACAUAAGAGCAUUUGUGAAGGGGUGAGUUGUCAAAUGUUCAUACUUUAGAUGUAGGCAUGCAUUGUAUACAGU